UUGGCAUGUGCUGUAAACUUAAUGUGGUUUUAGUGUGCUGUUCACUUAUUGACAAGGUUUUGCAUGUAUUUAGUUCUGUACCCAGCUCUAAUUGGCUAGUUUAAAUAUACUGUCUUUCUGUACUGUUUAUGAUGAAGUAAAUCAAUGGGAAUCUCUCUGAAAAAAAGAUGGAGAUGGAUUUUAUUACUGAAACAGUACACUACCAGUUAACAGUACUGGCUUAAAUUCACUCAUACCAACAUUCAGACUUUAACUGUGAGCAGGAUUGUAUGGCCGAAUGUAAUGGGGGGGGGGGCUGGAGAACCAUUGCUGUUGUGGUUGGUGCCUUCCCCUGAAUGAGCAAUAGGUUCAGUGUGCCUGCAAUUUUCACUGACUUCUCAAGAUCAUUGCUUUUUUGGCUUUGUAUACUGUGGAGCUGAUGGCUGUGUCCCUAUUGCUUCCAUGGGUAAAAAUAGUAAUUGCAAGCAACCCACAAAUGUGCAAGCUGGCUCUGCACCUAUCCUAGUGAAUAUUUCCAUUACCCUUUUCUUACUACUGGCAGUUCUCCACUGUGGCAGUGGAGUCUUUGCUGCCACUCCUGACAAUGUAACUUUAAUCCAGACCCACAGGUGUUUGGCAUUGAGAACCCAUGGGACCAGUGUGACAUGCAUUUAUUGUAGGCACUCAGACUGGCUAUUGGCAAGUUUGCAAUGUUUCAGCUAUUAAGCUAAAUUGGCAGGGUUUGACACCACCCCAUUUGUAUUGUUAAUGCUGCGUGCAACUUCUCACGUUUUGCCCUGAGUUUGCAGGUUUAUUGGUAGACACUGAUUCUACCACAUUUCUAGUUUGAGCAUAGAAAUUGGUGUUGCACUUUUAUUUACUUUGUAUGCUGCAAGGGGGAACAAUGAUGAGCCUAUAGUUCAGCUGAUUGGCAGUGCUGAAUCUUUUCGCCCCUAUCUGAUGUUCCUCCUUUGCAUGUGAAGCUUCUCUGCUCCAGGUUGUGAUGCCCAAACCCAAAUAACCAGGGAUCCAUUAGCCAAAAAUACUGUAGGCCAGAAUGUCAUUACUUUCCUAUAAAGUGGCUAAGGACUGUAGAGGACUGGGUAUUGGGUUAUGGUGUUUCCAACUUUUUUGAAGUGAUAAAUUAGUACUUUGCCAAUUUCAACUAUCUUGUAGUUGAGCUGCAUGUGGUGGCAAGCAUGAUGAUUCCAUAGUUCAGCAGAUUAAACUGUGCUGAAGCUUUUCGCCCCUAUCUGAUCAGUCACCUAGCUCUGUAAAUUGAAUGUUUUGUACAAACGUUUAUUGCAUCCUUUAAAUUUUUGCAGUGUAUGUGGCUCUUGAAAAAGUAGCAUUUAAAUGUCAACAAUGGUUAAGGUUAGUGUUUUUACCUUUCUGGAACAUGUUAACAUGCAGUUUUAAGGCUUAGUUUGUGAAAGGUCACACAUUAUUCUGGAGUGCAUGUUAAAUGGUGUGGUUUGGGAACUGGUAGGUUGUGCCAUGUCUAAGGCUGUAUUUUGGCUGUUUGCUGACAUUCCAAACCAGAGUAGCUUUUGGAGUAACCACCAACUGGAUCACAUCUCUCCCCAUUCCUAUUUUGUUUUGGAUAUUACUAGUAUGCAGAGGAGAAAGGCAAAUGCCCCUUGCCAAAAGUUGUGGCAGACACCGUACAUACCAAUACUUAAGAUUCUGAAGUCACAACAUCCUUGGACAGCAGACUGGAAGAUUAUAAUAGGUGUUAAACUGUCAGCAGUAAAAUUUUCUGCAUUUGGAUUUUAAUGCUAGUCUUAGUUUUCCCAAGUUACAACUUCAUAUGUUCAGCACUAUGAGCUUUCAACUUGUGUGGUCUGGUACAUCUUGCAAAUGAUGAUGAAUCAGGUCCCUGAUCCAAGUGAGGACAAGAUUUGACUGAUGCACCUAUUCUAAACUUUCAGUAUUCAGUAACUGCACAGACUGGUGUUUAGUAGGGAUCAUGCCAGUUUCUGCAGGAUUUGAAUUCCUGAUUAUUUGGUCAGACUUGCAUGCUUAGAGGUGAUAUUUUUAAGCCUUGGUUGUGCAUAUGUUGGGGGGGGGGGGUGUCCUAGUGUAAACUAAUCAAGGUUCAACAUAAGGUGGUUGUGUAAAAGCAGUAAAGUAGAUGCCCAAGUGAUGAGACACAGUCUGAUUUCUAAUAUGAAGAGUAAUUAGCUCUAACUGAUUUGGGCAUGCUGAAAACUUAAUGCUGAACUUUGAAGCUAAUUUUUAUAAACCUCAGGGUUCCAGAGCAGACUUGUGAUGGCAGGCAAGUGCCUUGAAGUGGUGUUUAAACUGGAGUGAAUGAAUUCCCUUUUAAGAGCAACCUUCAUUUGCCUAGUUUCUGUAACCAAUGAUGAAAUGAUUCUGCCAUAUGAGAUGUUAUGAUUCUAUUCUCUACCGUUCCAUUUGUUCUGAGGUUACAGUG
Molecule: long non-coding RNA, 2416 nt
Organism: Protopterus annectens (West African lungfish)
Lineage: Eukaryota; Metazoa; Chordata; Ceratodontiformes; Protopteridae
Exons: 2
Source: RefSeq, a predicted model, not a curated record